UACGUAGGGUGCAAGCGUUGUCCGGAAUUAUUGGGCGUAAAGAGCUCGUAGGCGGUUUGUCGCGUCGACUGUGAAAACCCGAGGCUUAACCUCGGGCCUGCAGUCGAUACGGGCAGACUAGAGUUCGGUAGGGGAGACUGGAAUUCCUGGUGUAGCGGUGAAAUACGUAGAUAUCAGGAGGAAUACCGGUGGCGAAGGCGGCUAUCUGGCCAUGUACUGACGCUGAGACACGAAAGCGUGGGGAGCAAACAGG
Molecule: ribosomal RNA, 253 nt
Filed under: uncultured bacterium
Lineage: Bacteria
Description: partial 16S ribosomal RNA
Rfam family: Bacterial small subunit ribosomal RNA
Source: RNAcentral